RNAcentral lists this ribosomal RNA (640 nucleotides) under uncultured bacterium. RNAcentral's name for it is "bacterial SSU rRNA". It matches the Rfam family "Bacterial small subunit ribosomal RNA", at positions 8 to 615 of the family's 1533-position model. The record is from RNAcentral.
AGAGUUUGAUCAUGGCUCAGGAUGAACGCUAGCGGUGCGCCUAACACAUGCAAGUCGAGCGAUCGAGCCAAGCCAAUCACCCUUCGGGGUGUGCGGAUUGGUCACGGAGCGGCGAACUGGUGAGUAACACGUGACUAACCUACCCCCUUGACAAGGAUAGCCACCCGAAAGGGUGGGUAAUACUCGAUAUUGUUGGAGGUCGAUGGAUUUCCAACCAAAGGCGGUUCUGCCGCCACAAGGGGAGGGGGUCGCGUCCUAUUAGCUUGUUGGUAGGGUAACGGCCUACCAAGGCUACGAUGGGUAGCUGGUCUGAGAGGAUGGUCAGCCACAUUGGGACUGAGAUACGGCCCAGACUCCUACGGGAGGCAGCAGUGGGGAAUCUUUCGCAAUGGACGAAAGUCUGACGGAGCGACACCGCGUGGGGGAUGAAUGCUUUCGGGUUGUAAACCCCUUUUCUGGGGGAAGAAUAAGGGCGGAAGGAAAUGUCCGUCCGAUGACGGUACCCCAGGAAUAAGCAUCGGCUAACUUCGUGCCAGCAGCCGCGGUAAGACGAAGGAUGCAAGCGUUAUCCGGAAUUACUGGGCGUAAAGGGUGUCUAGGCGGUUGAGUAAGUCACCUGUGAAAGCCCUCAGCUUAACUG